UAACAUCUAUUAACAAAGUAUAUAUAAAGAAGUACAUACAUAAAAAUAGAAUCGUGAGCUCAUAUUUAAGAGUCCUAGCUUCCUUUUAGAUAUAAGGCAUCUGAUUUAACUACUAAUGGACCAAAUAUUACACACAUAUAUUCAGAUAGCACGUAUACAAUGAGGGAUCCACUUACAUCUAGAAUAAAAUUUCUGAUUCUGAAAACUUUGACUAAAUUUUUUGCCUAACUCAUAUUUUGUCAAGGCAACCAUUUGAUCAAUGGUUUGUCCCACCACUAUCAACCUCAUCAAAUUUCAAAUUGAACUUAGUUCAAGAGAUAAUAUAUUAUGUUGAGAUGUUCGGUUCUAGUAAAAGAACC
RNAcentral lists this long non-coding RNA (359 nucleotides) under Panax ginseng (ginseng). RNAcentral's name for it is "long non-coding RNA (PGIN_LNC019020)". The record is from RNAcentral. Lineage: Eukaryota; Viridiplantae; Streptophyta; Magnoliopsida; Apiales; Araliaceae.